RNAcentral lists this ribosomal RNA (547 nucleotides) under uncultured bacterium. Its description in RNAcentral is "bacterial SSU rRNA". It matches the Rfam family "Bacterial small subunit ribosomal RNA", at positions 358 to 916 of the family's 1533-position model. The record is from RNAcentral.
GGAAUAUUGGGCAAUGGAGGAAACUCUGACCCAGCGACGCCGCGUGCGGGAUGAAGGCCUUCGGGUUGUAAACCGCUUUCAGUAGGGAAGAAGCGAAAGCGACGGUACCUACAAAAGAAGCACCGGCUAACUAUGUGCCAGCAGCCGCGGUAAUACAUAGGGUGCAAGCGUUGUCCGGAAUUAUUGGGCGUAAAGAGCUCGUAGGUCGUUUGUUACGUCGGAUGUGAAAACCUGAGGCUCAACCUCAGGCCUGCAUUCGAUACGGGCAAACUAGAGUUUGGUAGGGGAGACUGGAAUUCCUGGUGUAGCGGUGGAAUGCGCAGAUAUCAGGAGGAACACCAAUGGCGAAGGCAGGUCUCUGGGCCAAUACUGACACUGAGGAGCGAAAGUCUGGGGAGCGAACAGGAUUAGAUACCCUGGUAGUCCAGACCGUAAACGGUGGGCACUAGUUGUGGGAACCUUCCACGGUUUCUGCGACGCAGCUAACGCAUUAAGUGCCCCGCCUGGGGAGUACGAUCGCAAGAUUAAAACUCAAAGGAAUUGACGG